This is a long non-coding RNA of Onychostruthus taczanowskii (white-rumped snowfinch), 227 nucleotides long. RefSeq lists it as uncharacterized. The record is from RefSeq and is a predicted model, not a curated record. The transcript has 3 exons. NCBI's taxonomy places the organism in Eukaryota, Metazoa, Chordata, Aves, Passeriformes, Passeridae.
GGAAAAGCAGAACGAUGGAGUCACUUCUGGCAUGAUGGAGUGAGCAGCAGGACAUGGGCACCCAAGACAUCACAUCCUCAGGAGUGGGACUUGUCUGUCAGUUUCCCCCCCAGCAGCAGGAGAGAGGAAUUGCGCUGCCGGUGCUAUUGCUCUCAUUUCUUUCCAUUCACCUGGUUAAAUUCCGACACCGUGCCGGAUCCCGGGAUGCGCUUUGUUCUCUAAAAAUC